This 953-nucleotide small RNA is filed under the name Pongo abelii (Sumatran orangutan). RNAcentral describes it as "retained intron". The record is from RNAcentral. Lineage: Eukaryota; Metazoa; Chordata; Mammalia; Primates; Hominidae.
ACUGCUCCGCCUGAGAGGAACCCUGGGGUUUAACGCUGAAGUGCGUUUCUCGGAGGGCAGAGCUGGAGCAUCUCGCAGCCCUACAACUUCUUUGCGGCGCUCGGUCUGACUUUGCGUUGCGAGAUCAGGAUCGGUGUGUUGCUCAGACACCGACCGAAGGCCACCAGCACGUCUAGGAGUCUCCUGUGCCUGGAAGAGGCUGGUUUCAUUCGAUUCUAAAAGAAACGGAUGUUGAAACAUUUGUAGCAGACAUACUGAAAGGAGAAAAUUUAUCCAAGAAAGCAAAGGAAAAGAGAGAAUCCCUUAUUAAGAAGAUAAAAGAUGUAAAGUCUAUCUAUCUUCAGGAAUUUCGAGACAAAGGUGAUGCAGAAGAUGGGGAAGAAUAUGAUGACCCUUUUGCUGGGCCUCCAGACACUAUUUCAUUGGCCUCAGAACGAUAUGAUAAAGACGAUGAAGCCACCUCUGAUGGAGCCCAGUUUCCUCCAAUUGCAGCACAAGACCUUCCUUUUGUUCUAAAGGCUGGCUACCUUGAAAAACGCAGAAAAGAUCACAGCUUUCUGGGAUUUGAAUGGCAGAAACGGUGGUGUGCUCUCAGUAAAACAGUAUUCUAUUAUUAUGGAAGUGAUAAAGACAAACAACAGAAAGGUGAAUUUGCAAUAGAUGGCUACAGUGUCAGAAUGAAUAACGCUCUAAGAAAGGAUGGAAAGAAAGAUUGCUGUUUUGAAAUUUCUGCUCCUGAUAAACGUAUAUAUCAGGUUGUAGUUUUUAUGUUGCCUUGAAAUUAAGUUGAUAAAAUGUUUUGAUUUCAUUUAUAGACAUUAACAUUUGAUUAAUACUUUCCUUGACAUGUUAACAAUAGUAAAAAUACUGGUGUUUAAAUACAUUAUGCAUUGAACAUUCAUGUAAGAGGAAUUUUUUAAAAAUUUCAGAUUGGUUCAAACACUAUCUUCUUG